Molecule: transfer RNA, 72 nt
Filed under: Ovis aries (sheep)
Lineage: Eukaryota; Metazoa; Chordata; Mammalia; Artiodactyla; Bovidae
Rfam family: tRNA
About the family: Transfer RNA (tRNA) molecules are approximately 80 nucleotides in length. Their secondary structure includes four short double-helical elements and three loops (D, anti-codon, and T loops).
Source: Rfam by way of RNAcentral
UCCCUGGUGGUCCAGUCGUUAUGACUUAGCACUUUCACUGCCAUGGCCUGGGUUUGAUCCCUGGUCAGGGAA